AGUUGAAUAACUCACUAACAAUCAAAACAGCGCCGGGCUCAUAACCCGGAGGACAGUGGAUCGAAACCACUUUCAGCUA
This 79-nucleotide transfer RNA is filed under the name Macrophomina phaseolina MS6. It matches the Rfam family "tRNA". From Rfam's summary of the family: Transfer RNA (tRNA) molecules are approximately 80 nucleotides in length. Lineage: Eukaryota; Fungi; Ascomycota; Dothideomycetes; Botryosphaeriales; Botryosphaeriaceae. The record is from Rfam by way of RNAcentral.